This is a long non-coding RNA of Dromaius novaehollandiae (emu), 2357 nucleotides long. RefSeq lists it as uncharacterized. Lineage: Eukaryota; Metazoa; Chordata; Aves; Casuariiformes; Dromaiidae. The transcript is spliced from 2 exons. The record is from RefSeq and is a predicted model, not a curated record.
UAAGCGGGGAGGCUCCCGGGCCCGGGCUCCUCAACUCCUCCUCCUCCCGCCUUCCUCCUCCCGCCCCCCCGCCCUCCGCAGCUGCAGCUCCCUGCCGCUACUCGCCCUCCGCCGGCGCGGCCGGGCCCCCUGCCCUUCUCAGGGCUGGGCCUGACCUGCCGGGCUCGGCUCUUGCUGCCCGUUACCGGGCGGCGGCGGCGGCGGGGGAGCGGCCGAGCAGCGGGGCGCGGAGGGGCCGCAGCCCUCCCCUGGCAGGCGGCCCCUGCCCACGGGCCCUGCUUAGCGCCCCGCAGAACUUGGAGGUGUCAUGGCCCGGCUCCAGCGCCAGCCUCCAAGCGUGGCUGGGCUCUGCGGCCCUCUCGCUGAAGGAGAAAAAGCUCGAAGCUUUUUGUUUUUUAAGGAACCACUUGUACCACAGGAAAGCACGCUUUCUGUUCCCCCUUUUUGGCCCUUUCUUUCGCAGCUCUUUCUGAAGAAAGAGUGGAAAGCCGGGGAAGGGAGAAAGGUUUUGUAUCUAGUACAAAUCCUCAGAUCGUCUCUAUGCCAUCGGCUGUUUGACCAAACACCUGAAAUUUCUUUUUAUGAGGAAAAUCACUCCUUCCAAGCAGCAGGAAUACUGCUGAGGUUUCUACAAACAUUCAGACCAUCUACUGGAAUCUGGCUUCCUCUGUUGCUCCGGCUGAGAAUUAAAAGAAAAAAACCAAGCCCAAGCCCAAGGCCCCACAGCGCGCUGGUGAACGGAGGCACACGGCCCCGCGUGAGGCAGCUGCGGCUUCACCAUUGCCCCCCCCCGGAUGCUGCCUCAACACUUCGGGGGCCAUCGUUAGCGAUCAGCAAAACUUCCAGAACAUAAAAUGACAUUUAGACGCUGGUCAAAGACCUCAACUCUCAUCCAGCGAAACAUGCCAAGCAGGGUGGAAAUGCCAACCAGUCUUCCCUCAGUGUGCAUGUAGCCACGUGUUCACCUUCAUCCAGUGUGCACAGGUCAGUGUAGCAUUUUUCAGACUGGGAGGGCAAUUUCACUUCUAGCACGUACUGCUUUAUAGAGUGAAACGUGACUAAUUUUUGCUCCGUUCACUCUAGCAUUUCUUUCACAAUAGUUUCUGGAUCCUCUGCAGAACUUUUCACCAGGGAAUCUCAAGACGCAUGGAAAUGGGAGCCCAAAGAAGUGACUUACCAUGACUACAAAGCCUAUCUGAUGCAUAGCCAGGUCUCUCUGAUGCGUGCCAGAUACGUUCAAUGCUUGAGGGCAGGUCUGCUUCGAGGCAGGCUAGAGGAACGGACUGAUGUGAACCACAUGAAGUUCAAUAUGGACUACUGCAAAGCCGUGCACCUUGGUCAAACUAAUCCUUUACAGUUGCACAUGCUGGGCCUGACUGGCUACUCAGCUCCACUGAAUCAGAUCUGGGGGUCCUGGUGGGCAGGGGGUACCAGCAGCAUGCCCCAGCAGCAACUGAGGCUUGCAGCAUCCUGGGCUGCAAACAGGAGCAUGGCCAGUAGGUGAAGGAAAUGAUUAUUCCCCUUCACUUGGCAUUUGUUAGACUGCAUCUGGAAUAUCAUAUCCAGUUUUGGCCCCCCCGGUACAAGAAGGUCAUUGAUGAACUUGAGCAAAUCCAGUAGAGAGCCAAGACAUUUGGAAGCUGGAGGAUGUGUCCUGCAAGGAGAGGCUGAGGGUACUGGGCUCAUUUAGCAUGGAAAGGAGAACGGGUACAGGAGACCUAGUGUCAGCAUUCAAUACCUGCGAGGUGUUACUGAGAACACAAAGCCAAGCUCUUCACUGGAGUGCAUGGCAGGAGAAAGAGAGACAGUGGUCAUAAACUGAAACAGGGGAGGUUCCAACUGGAUUAUCAAGAAAGGUUUUUUUCCCCUGCAAGGACAAUGAAGCAGUCCAACAGGCUGCCCCCUGAGACGGUGGAAUUUCCAUCCUUGGAGGUUUUUAUGACCUGACUGGACAAAGUCCUGAGCAACCUAGUCUGCACUCAGUGUUGACCCUGCUGUGAGCAAGAGGUUGGACUAGAGACUUCCCAAAGUCUCUUCCAACCUGAAUGGCUCUAUGAUCAAGAAGCAUUCCUCUUAAAUCCCCUUAUCUCACAGAAGAUGAGGUUUAAUUAAAGGAUAGUAAAAUACUUUGAAAGAGUAUUACAUGAAAUACAGGUGAUUGUCAUGUAGUUCAGGUUGGCUGGGUUUUAAUUUUGAGGGUGUGAGUUUAGAAGAGCGUUGACAUAAAUACUAAAACAAACAUUCCAGCAUAGUCAGCAUUUUUCAACUACCAUAUUACCAGAGAAAAUGCUUAUAACAAAGUUUUUUUUAAACAAGAUGAAUUAAUCCUUACUGUAGAAGAAGCUGAAUUUCCUCAA